RNAcentral lists this ribosomal RNA (269 nucleotides) under uncultured prokaryote. RNAcentral's name for it is "partial 16S ribosomal RNA". It matches the Rfam family "Bacterial small subunit ribosomal RNA", at positions 524 to 792 of the family's 1533-position model. The record is from RNAcentral.
UACGGAGGAUCCGAGCGUUAUCCGGAUUUAUUGGGUUUAAAGGGUGCGCAGGCGGGGGAUUAAGUCGGCGGUGAAAUUUUGCAGCUCAACUGUAAAAGUGCCUUCGAAACUGGUUUCCUUGAGUGUGGAUGAAGUAGGCGGAAUUUGUGGUGUAGCGGUGAAAUGCAUAGAUAUCACGAGGAACUCCGAUUGCGCAGGCAGCUUACUAAACUACUACUGACGCUCAGGCACGAUGGCGUGGGGAUCAAACAGGAUUAGAUACUCCGGUA